CACUAUAACUCAUUAACAACUGACCAUCUAAACAACAUGUCAGCACUUUAAUGGGUCUCUGAACACAACCUCACAAUUACACAUCUCUGAUUCUCUGAACAUGCGCACGGUGACUCAUAGAAUUCAGAAAAGCAGGCCAACAUUAACGAUCAUCCAGCGAUCAAGGCGCAGCUUAUACUAUACUAGAUGGCUCAUCCAAGCACAGUUACAUCUCUGAAUACUGAUCUACAGAGUCUAAUUACACUCGUUGCGCUGCGUUCCACACGGCAACUGGAAUUUUGUGUAGAUUCUUCUGUCGUGGCAUCGCCGGAGGGAUGAACUUGAUCCUUGGUGUCUUCUCUUUCAGAAACGACAGAGAGUCGAGCUUCCCAGCGGCGGCGUCGGCGGAACGAGGAGCAUCGAACCAUGGGUGCUUCAGCGCGUCGGCUGCCGUCAGUCGCUC
RNAcentral lists this long non-coding RNA (442 nucleotides) under Hordeum vulgare. RNAcentral's name for it is "long non-coding RNA (HVUL_LNC010881)". Lineage: Eukaryota; Viridiplantae; Streptophyta; Magnoliopsida; Poales; Poaceae. The record is from RNAcentral.